Non-coding RNA from Sus scrofa (pig), 459 nucleotides. NCBI's taxonomy places the organism in Eukaryota, Metazoa, Chordata, Mammalia, Artiodactyla, Suidae. The record is from RefSeq and is a predicted model, not a curated record.
CCCCUAGGAAUUUUUGCUGGAGAGCUAUGAAGGCUACAUGAUUCCCCUGGGGAAAUAUGAGUGAGCAAAGGCAAACAUCAACAGGCAGGCCCCUUGAUCCAUCAGCUUAAAGCCCAUCAUUAAGUGCCUCCCACCUCUACCCCAGGAAAGUUAUCUCUCGCUGAGCUUCCAUUUGCUUCUUUAGGGUCAGGUGACUUGGGAAUGUUCUGUUCAGGAUGUGCUUCUAUCAUCUGGCACAACGCAGUGGAUGCCCUGGAGCAACCCCAGAUAACAUAGGCUCAUCUCUCCUCUGAAUCAGAGUCCUGACCUCUGUUACAGGAUGAGGAAAGACCUGAGGAUGAAAUAGUGUGACCCGGCAUCGUACAUUCCCUUUCAGUUUUCAACAUUUUCUCCUCCCUUUCCAGCCAAGUUUUACCACUUAGCAAAUAGUUAUACAUAGUGUAGGAACGAACCAUCUUU